Molecule: ribosomal RNA, 451 nt
Filed under: uncultured bacterium
Lineage: Bacteria
Description: partial 16S ribosomal RNA
Rfam family: Bacterial small subunit ribosomal RNA
Source: RNAcentral
AGCGAACGCUGGCGGCAGGCUUAACACAUGCAAGUCGAGCGGGCAUAGCAAUAUGUCAGCGGCAGACGGGUGAGUAACGCGUGGGAACGUACCUUUUGGUUCGGAACAACACAGGGAAACUUGUGCUAAUACCGGAUAAGCCCUUACGGGGAAAGAUUUAUCGCCGAAAGAUCGGCCCGCGUCUGAUUAGCUAGUUUGUGAGGUAAUGGCUCACCAAGGCGACGAUCAGUAGCUGGUCUGAGAGGAUGAUCAGCCACAUUGGGACUGAGACACGGCCCAAACUCCUACGGGAGGCAGCAGUGGGGAAUAUUGGACAAUGGGCGCAAGCCUGAUCCAGCCAUGCCACGUGAGUGAUGAAGGCCCUAGGGUUGUAAAGCUCUUUUGUGCGGGAAGAUAAUGACGGUACCGCAAGAAUAAGCCCCGGCUAACUUCGUGCCAGCCGCCGCGGUAA